This 209-nucleotide long non-coding RNA is filed under the name Glycine max (soybean). Its description in RNAcentral is "long non-coding RNA (GMAX_LNC000253)". Lineage: Eukaryota; Viridiplantae; Streptophyta; Magnoliopsida; Fabales; Fabaceae. The record is from RNAcentral.
CUUGUUACCUUGAUGGGGUCGUUGUCAUAUGAAAAAGGGGUCCAUAUGGAGGGUACAAUACUAAUUCUUAAAUUCUUAUAGCCAAGAACAUGUUUUUCUCAAGUUUCUCGGUGGGAGAAUAUCAGUUUGUCCUCUGUGUAAAGCUCUCAAUUCAAGUUAGUCCAAUUCAUUUGAGUUAUUUGUACUAUAAGAAUAAAGGUAAAAUAUCA